CCCUAAGCUUGCCCAACUGGGCAGAGGGAUCCUUCUCCCCUUGUGACUGUUUCAGGGGCUGCCGCAAAGAAAUUCCUCAGGGAUCACUGCUGUAUUCCCACCUCACCUCUCUUCCAAAGGAAAAAUGAAGGAAACUCUAAGGCAGAAGUGAGGCAUCUUCAAAGGGCAAAGCUGCCACUUCAUCAGCUUGUCCUAGCACUAAGCUCAGAAUAGUAAACUUCAAAGCCUCUCUUCUUCAGCAGCUGGAUGAAACAAGCAUAACAUGUAUCAGCACAGAUAUGCUUUUUCUCACUCCAGAGUUAAGGGAACAUCUUUUAUGCAUUUAAAGACUAGGAAAUCAAAAGUGAUUCCCUCUUGAUUUCAUUCUUGUGUCUUAAUCCUUUAAUUAGAAAUGAUAGCUGGCAAGAAUCUGUUUCGUUAACAGGAACCAGCAGAGAACUGUAGAGCUGGUAUACCAUAAAGAGUUCCAGGAAUAAGAUUAAUAUGAUAAAAUAUCCAGUGGGAGAACAGGACAAUAAGCUAUCCAGAGGCCAGUGAUUCAUCCUUCCAUUGUGCACCAGUCUUGCCACCUUCCCUUACUGCUGAUGUGUACACAAUCAUUUGCAUCCUCUGUGUGCGCUCUGAAAGCAGUGUGAAAUGACUGUACACAGGAUAGUCUGGAGGGAGAGUUC
Pogoniulus pusillus (Red-fronted tinkerbird) is the source of this 671-nucleotide long non-coding RNA. RefSeq lists it as uncharacterized. The transcript is spliced from 3 exons. NCBI's taxonomy places the organism in Eukaryota, Metazoa, Chordata, Aves, Piciformes, Lybiidae. The record is from RefSeq and is a predicted model, not a curated record.